This 2903-nucleotide ribosomal RNA is filed under the name Enterobacter hormaechei. Its description in RNAcentral is "23S ribosomal RNA". It matches the Rfam family "Bacterial large subunit ribosomal RNA". The record is from RNAcentral. Lineage: Bacteria; Pseudomonadati; Pseudomonadota; Gammaproteobacteria; Enterobacterales; Enterobacteriaceae.
UUAAGCGACUAAGCGUACACGGUGGAUGCCCUGGCAGUCAGAGGCGAUGAAGGACGUGCUAAUCUGCGAAAAGCGCCGGCGAGGUGAUAUGAACCCUUGACCCGGCGAUGUCCGAAUGGGGAAACCCAGUGCAAUUCGUUGCACUAUCGUUAACUGAAUACAUAGGUUAACGAGGCGAACCGGGGGAACUGAAACAUCUAAGUACCCCGAGGAAAAGAAAUCAACCGAGAUUCCCCCAGUAGCGGCGAGCGAACGGGGAGCAGCCCGGAGUCUGAAUCAGCUUGUGUGUUAGUGGAACGGUCUGGAAAGUCCGACGGUACAGGGUGAUAGUCCCGUACACGAAAGCACACAUGCUGUGAACUCGAAGAGUAGGGCGGGACACGUGGUAUCCUGUCUGAAUAUGGGGGGACCAUCCUCCAAGGCUAAAUACUCCUGACUGACCGAUAGUGAACCAGUACCGUGAGGGAAAGGCGAAAAGAACCCCGGCGAGGGGAGUGAAAAAGAACCUGAAACCGUGUACGUACAAGCAGUGGGAGCCUCUUUAUGGGGUGACUGCGUACCUUUUGUAUAAUGGGUCAGCGACUUAUAUUCUGUAGCAAGGUUAACCGUAUAGGGGAGCCGAAGGGAAACCGAGUCUUAACUGGGCGUUAAGUUGCAGGGUAUAGACCCGAAACCCGGUGAUCUAGCCAUGGGCAGGUUGAAGGUUGGGUAACACUAACUGGAGGACCGAACCGACUAAUGUUGAAAAAUUAGCGGAUGACCUGUGGCUGGGGGUGAAAGGCCAAUCAAACCGGGAGAUAGCUGGUUCUCCCCGAAAGCUAUUUAGGUAGCGCCUCGUGAACUCAUCUUCGGGGGUAGAGCACUGUUUCGGCUAGGGGGCCAUCCCGGCUUACCAACCCGAUGCAAACUACGAAUACCGAAGAAUGUUAUCACGGGAGACACACGGCGGGUGCUAACGUCCGUCGUGAAGAGGGAAACAACCCAGACCGCCAGCUAAGGUCCCAAAGUCAUGGUUAAGUGGGAAACGAUGUGGGAAGGCACAGACAGCCAGGAUGUUGGCUUAGAAGCAGCCAUCAUUUAAAGAAAGCGUAAUAGCUCACUGGUCGAGUCGGCCUGCGCGGAAGAUGUAACGGGGCUAAACCAUGCACCGAAGCUGCGGCAGCGACACUAUGUGUUGUUGGGUAGGGGAGCGUUCUGUAAGCCGUUGAAGGUGUGCUGUGAGGCAUGCUGGAGGUAUCAGAAGUGCGAAUGCUGACAUAAGUAACGAUAAAGCGGGUGAAAAGCCCGCUCGCCGGAAGACCAAGGGUUCCUGUCCAACGUUAAUCGGGGCAGGGUGAGUCGACCCCUAAGGCGAGGCCGAAAGGCGUAGUCGAUGGGAAACAGGUUAAUAUUCCUGUACUUGGUGUUACUGCGAAGGGGGGACGGAGAAGGCUAUGUCAGCCGGGCGACGGUUGUCCCGGUUUAAGCAUGUAGGCGGAGGUUCCAGGUAAAUCCGGUACCUUGUUAACGCUGAGGUGUGAUGACGAGGCACUACGGUGCUGAAGUGAUAAAUGCCCUGCUUCCAGGAAAAGCCUCUAAGCAUCAGGUAACACGAAAUCGUACCCCAAACCGACACAGGUGGUCAGGUAGAGAAUACCAAGGCGCUUGAGAGAACUCGGGUGAAGGAACUAGGCAAAAUGGUGCCGUAACUUCGGGAGAAGGCACGCUGAUGUGUAGGUGAAGCCCCUGCGGGUGGAGCUGAAAUCAGUCGAAGAUACCAGCUGGCUGCAACUGUUUAUUAAAAACACAGCACUGUGCAAACACGAAAGUGGACGUAUACGGUGUGACGCCUGCCCGGUGCCGGAAGGUUAAUUGAUGGGGUUAGCGGCAACGCGAAGCUCUUGAUCGAAGCCCCGGUAAACGGCGGCCGUAACUAUAACGGUCCUAAGGUAGCGAAAUUCCUUGUCGGGUAAGUUCCGACCUGCACGAAUGGCGUAAUGAUGGCCAGGCUGUCUCCACCCGAGACUCAGUGAAAUUGAACUCGCUGUGAAGAUGCAGUGUACCCGCGGCAAGACGGAAAGACCCCGUGAACCUUUACUAUAGCUUGACACUGAACACUGGUCCUUGAUGUGUAGGAUAGGUGGGAGGCUUUGAAGCGUGGACGCCAGUCUGCGUGGAGCCAACCUUGAAAUACCACCCUUUAAUGGCUGGUGUUCUAACGUAGACCCGUAAUCCGGGUUGCGGACAGUGUCUGGUGGGUAGUUUGACUGGGGCGGUCUCCUCCCAAAGAGUAACGGAGGAGCACGAAGGUUGGCUAAUCCUGGUCGGACAUCAGGAGGUUAGUGCAAUGGCAUAAGCCAGCUUGACUGCGAGCGUGACGGCGCGAGCAGGUGCGAAAGCAGGUCAUAGUGAUCCGGUGGUUCUGAAUGGAAGGGCCAUCGCUCAACGGAUAAAAGGUACUCCGGGGAUAACAGGCUGAUACCGCCCAAGAGUUCAUAUCGACGGCGGUGUUUGGCACCUCGAUGUCGGCUCAUCACAUCCUGGGGCUGAAGUAGGUCCCAAGGGUAUGGCUGUUCGCCAUUUAAAGUGGUACGCGAGCUGGGUUUAGAACGUCGUGAGACAGUUCGGUCCCUAUCUGCCGUGGGCGCUGGAGAAUUGAGGGGGGCUGCUCCUAGUACGAGAGGACCGGAGUGGACGCAUCACUGGUGUUCGGGUUGUCAUGCCAAUGGCACUGCCCGGUAGCUAAAUGCGGAAGAGAUAAGUGCUGAAAGCAUCUAAGCACGAAACUUGCCCCGAGAUGAGUUCUCCCUGAGACUUUAAGUCUCCUGAAGGAACGUUGAAGACGACGACGUUGAUAGGUCGGGUGUGUAAGCGCAGCGAUGCGUUGAGCUAACCGAUACUAAUGAACCGUGAGGCUUAACCUU